This is a non-coding RNA of Flavobacterium sp. MedPE-SWcel, 28 nucleotides long. The record is from Rfam. NCBI's taxonomy places the organism in Bacteria, Pseudomonadati, Bacteroidota, Flavobacteriia, Flavobacteriales, Flavobacteriaceae.
UAACCUCUGGCGAAACUCGUGAAUGUUA